GAUGAACGCUGGCUACAGGCUUAACACAUGCAAGUCGAGGGGAAACGGCAUUGGGUGCUUGCACCGAAUGGACGUCGACCGGCGCACGGGUGAGUAACGCGUAUCCAACCUUCCCGUUACUGCGGGAUAACCUGCCGAAAGGCAGACUAAUACCGCAUGUUCUUCGAUGACGGCAUCAGAUUCGAAGCAAAGAUCCGUCGGUAACGGAGGGGGAUGCGUCUGAUUAGCUUGUUGGCGGGGCGACGGCCCACCAAGGCGACGAUCAGUAGGGGUUCUGAGAGGAAGGUCCCCCACAUUGGAACUGAGACACGGUCCAAACUCCUACGGGAGGCAGCAGUGAGGAAUAUUGGUCAAUGGGCGGAAGCCUGAACCAGCCAAGUAGCGUGCAGGAUGACGGCCCUACGGGUUGUAAACUGCUUUUAUGCGGGGAUAAAGUGAGGGACGCGUCCCUUUUUGCAGGUACCGCAUGAGUAAGGACCGGCUAAUUCCGUGCCAGCAGCCGCGGUAAUACGGAAGGUCCGGGCGUUAUCCGGAUUUAUUGGGUUUAAAGGGAGCGUAGGCCGGGGAUUAAGUGUGUUGUGAAAUGUAGGCGCCCAACGUCUGACUUGCAGCGCAUACUGGUUCCCUUGAGUACGCGCAACGCCGGCGGAAUUCGUCGUGUAGCGGUGAAAUGCUUAGAUAUGACGAAGAACCCCGAUUGCGAAGGCAGCCGGCGGGAGCGCAACUGACGCUGAAGCUCGAAGGUGCGGGUAUCGAACAGG
Molecule: ribosomal RNA, 761 nt
Filed under: uncultured Prevotella sp.
Lineage: Bacteria; Pseudomonadati; Bacteroidota; Bacteroidia; Bacteroidales; Prevotellaceae
Description: bacterial SSU rRNA
Rfam family: Bacterial small subunit ribosomal RNA
Source: RNAcentral